Molecule: ribosomal RNA, 497 nt
Filed under: uncultured bacterium
Lineage: Bacteria
Description: partial 16S ribosomal RNA
Rfam family: Bacterial small subunit ribosomal RNA
Source: RNAcentral
GAUGAACGCUGGCGGCGUGCCUAAUACAUGCAAGUCGAGCGAACAGAUGAGGAGCUUGCUCCUCUGACGUUAGCGGCGGACGGGUGAGUAACACGUGGAUAACCUACCUAUAAGACUGGGAUAACUUCGGGAAACCGGAGCUAAUACCGGAUAAUAUAUUGAACCACAUGGUUCAAUAGUGAAAGACGGUUUUGCUGUCACUUAUAGAUGGAUCCGCGCCGCAUUAGCUAGUUGGUAAGGUAACGGCUUACCAAGGCAACGAUGCGUAGCCGACCUGAGAGGGUGAUCGGCCACACUGGAACUGGGACACGGUCCAGACUCCUACGGGAGGCAGCAGUAGGGAAUCUUCCGCAAUGGGCGAAAGCCUGACGGAGCAACGCCGCGUGAGUGAUGAAGGUCUUCGGAUCGUAAAACUCUGUUAUUAGGGAAGAACAAAUGUGUAAGUAACUAUGCACGUCUUGACGGUACCUAAUCAGAAAGCCACGGCUAACUACGUG